GUUCCUCUGCAGGUCUAUCUCUCUCUAUCACGUACACGAGCACUUUGCACUCGUUUAAUCUACUCAUAGUCAUAGAUAGUUAAAGAUUCAAAUUCCGAAACGAUGUAUGAUCCUCAGCAUUUCGUAGAUUUGCAAGAAAAUUCCAAGUUUGGGGACCCCAAAUCAUGGCUCUCCGGCGACGACAACUCUUCCCCGACUCUCCGACGAGUUCAGUCCCCUCUCCGCCCUCACUUCCACCUCUGCUUCCACCACUGGGGCAGCCGGCAAUGUCGAUCGCGUCCUCUACGACAAUCUCGUUGAGAUGGUCCCUCUCGUCGAGUCCCUCAUCCAUCGGAAAGCCAACAGUUCAUUUACACGGCGAGGUUCGAUGAUCUACACAAAGACGCCUUCCAGAGAAUCUUUAUAUAAAAAGAUAAAUGAUCCAAAAGAGAGGUAUACAACUCAAUCUAUACCAGCAAAAAAGAAAAAAGAACAUGGAGACAAG
RNAcentral lists this unclassified non-coding RNA (484 nucleotides) under Hevea brasiliensis (rubber tree). The record is from RNAcentral. Lineage: Eukaryota; Viridiplantae; Streptophyta; Magnoliopsida; Malpighiales; Euphorbiaceae.